Molecule: long non-coding RNA, 1633 nt
Organism: Aethalodelphis obliquidens (Pacific white-sided dolphin)
Lineage: Eukaryota; Metazoa; Chordata; Mammalia; Artiodactyla; Delphinidae
Exons: 4
Source: RefSeq, a predicted model, not a curated record
UUUCUCGCCGGCGCGCUGCCCUCGUUGCUCUUUGACCAGAAGAGUUUCCCAGAGAUCUGUCAGAGUCUGAUGGCAAAGUGCUCUUUUAUCUUUAGUGGCGGGGCUGGAGCUGCCUUUGGCCGGGUUUCGCAGAGGGGCUCUUUUAGGGGGUUUCCAAGUAGGCUGCAGCCGAGGAUUGCCCCCCGCGCGGGGGCGGGAAGACGGGGGCUGCCCCUGAGAAUGACACUUCUUACCGGGCUCCAUCCCGGGGGUGAGGAGCCCCAAGCCUGCCAUUACCAGUUACUUCAUUACCGUGAAUCAAGUAGAACCCACGCAUUAGGGCUGGAGAAGGGAAAGAAACCAGAGCGCGGGGCCCCAGAUCUGUCGGUCCUCAAAGCCUGUUCUGACCGCUGUUCAUCACACCAGCUACAGUUUUGUCAAGUCCUACAUGAGAAACCAGGCUCAGAGAGGUGAAGUCACUUGCCCAAGAUUACACAGCAAGUAAAUGGUAGACCUGGCAUUCAAAUCCAGAGCCUAUCAUUUGGAUUUGCAGAUGAUCUUUGACAGGCUUGCUUUUGGAAGAUAACCCUUCAAUUCGUGCCAUCACUUUGGGACAUGGACAGAUACUGGUGGGAACGAAAAAUGGAGAGAUCCUGGAAAUUGAUAAGAAUGGCCCAAUGACACUGCUCAUUCAGGUACUGUGUUUGCACACAUCCUAAACCACAAUUCACACCAGAGCUGGAACCAGGGUGAGGCAACGGGGGGCACUUAGGGCGCAAAAUUUAAGGAGACACUCACUAUCAGGGUCAGGCAAAUGCUGUAUUAAUCAUCUAUUGCUGUAUAACAAAUUGUCACAAACUUAGCAGCUUAAAACAAAAACAUUCCUCAUCUUAUGGUUUCUGCAGGUCAGGAGCCUGAACACAGUUUAACUGGGUCCUCUGUUUAAGGUUUUCUAAGGCUGCAAUAAGGGCCAGGGCUGUGGUCUCAUCUGAGGCUUAACUGUGGAUCUGCUCCAAGGUCACUCGAGUUGUUGGCAGAGUUCAGUUCGUUGGGGAUGCAGGACUGAGGGCUUCCGUUUCUUGCUGGCUAUUGGCCAGAGGCCACCCUCAGCUCUCAGAGGCUGCCUAUAGUUCCUCAUCACAUGGGGUUCCCCAACAUGGCUGCUUGCUUCCUCAAAGAGAGCAAGGGAAAGAGGAAGAACAGGUACUACUGUGCCUUUAAGUAACUUUAAAUAACAUAAUCAUAUCAUCACAUAUGUGUAAUCAUGAACAUCCAUCCCCUUUGCCAUAUUUUGUUGGUUGGUAACAAGCCACAGGCUAUACCACACUCAAAGGGAGGUGGUUACACAAGAGUGUGAAAACCAAGAGCAUCAUGAGGGUCACCUGUCCAGCACAGUCUGCCCUCUGGCCACCAAUUAUCAUGUCUCUACCACAUGCAAAAUACAUCCCCCCCCCAAGGUCCCCAAGAGCCUUAUCCCAUCAUAGUAUCUGUUCAAAGUCCAUAAUCUCAUUGUCUAAAUCAGGCCCAGGUGUGGGUGGGGCUGCUUGGGUGUAUUUCCUCUUGAUCUGUCAAAAUCUGCAGGCGGAUUCUUAACUACUGCACCACCAGGGAAGUCCCGAGAUUGUUUUAUUUCUUCCUUUUCCUUUUUAAAAUA